UACAGAGGUGGCAAGCGUUGUUCGGAAUUACUGGGCGUAAAGGGCGCGUAGGCGGCUUGGUCAGUCCCGUGUGAAAUCCCUCGGCUCAACUGAGGAACUGCACGGGAAACUGCCUGGCUUGAGUUCGGGAGAGGGAAGCGGAAUUCCGGGUGUAGCGGUGAAAUGCGUAGAUAUCCGGAGGAACACCGGUGGCGAAGGCGGCGUUCUGGACUGCUACUGACACUGAGGAACGAAAGCCAGGGGAGCAAACGGG
Molecule: ribosomal RNA, 253 nt
Filed under: uncultured bacterium
Lineage: Bacteria
Description: partial 16S ribosomal RNA
Rfam family: Bacterial small subunit ribosomal RNA
Source: RNAcentral